This 492-nucleotide ribosomal RNA is filed under the name uncultured bacterium. RNAcentral describes it as "partial 16S ribosomal RNA". It matches the Rfam family "Bacterial small subunit ribosomal RNA", at positions 30 to 507 of the family's 1533-position model. The record is from RNAcentral.
AUUGAACGCUGGCGGCAGGCCUAACACAUGCAAGUCGAACGGUAACACGGAACAACUUUGUUCUUCCCUGUGGAGUGUCGCAGACGGGUGUGGAGUACGUCGAACUCUCCUUUUUCGUGGGGGAUCUAGUGGAGACGGUAGCGCUUAUCCCGUAUCCUCCCUACGGCUAAGAGCAGGAGCUCUUCGCCUCUUGCCAGCUUGUGUGCCCAGAUGUGGGAUUAGCUAGUUGGCGGGGUAACGGCUCACCUAGGCGACGAUCCCUAGCUGGUCUGAGAGGAUGACCAGCCACACUGGAACUGAGACACGGUCCAGACUCCUACGGGAGGCAGCAGUGGGGAAUAUUGCACAAUGGGCGCAAGCCUGAUGCAGCCAUGCCGCGUGUAUGAAGAAGGCCUUCGGGUUGUAAAGUACUUUUGGCGGGGAAGAAGAGAGUAAAGUUAAUACCUCGGCUCAUUGACGUUACCCGAAGAAGAAGCACCGGCUAACUCCGUG